CUCCUUCAUCAACAAAACGACACGCUGUCAAGGGCUCAUAGGUCCUCCCUCCCAUGAUGACAUGGUUGAUAUUGAUCUCUUCCUAUUAAAGUGCAAGAGCUUUGUGAGUGUGUCUACACAUCUCACUCAUUUGCUUCCAAGAAGAAACCUCAAAGUUCGGUUUUUCUGUGCAUUUUAGUCAUCAAUGGCUGCAGCUUCAAGUGAUUCCGUGCCCUCUGUAAACAAGGCUUGGGUGUACUCAGAAUAUGGAAAGGCUGCAGAUGUUUUGAAACUUGAUCCCAAUGUUCCUGUUCCUGAACUAAAGGAAGACCAGGUGCUCAUCAAGGUGGUUGCUGCAGCUCUUAACCCAGUUGAUUACAAGAGGAUGUUUGGGUAUUUUAAAGCCACCGACUCUCCUCUACCUGUGAGAGCCUCUUUCUCUUUCAUUUUCUUUUUAAUGCAUUUGCUUGUAUUUUGAAUUGGGGUUUUGAAAAUAAUGUUUAUUUUUAGGAAUUUAUAGUUUUUCUUUUUUCCUUUUUAAUUGUUUGGCAGUCCAGUCUGAAAAUAUGGCCUGCUGUUGUUGGAUCCAUUUUGCUGUAUAAUUGGCCUUUCUUCUUUUUUGAUACAAGUAACAAAUUUUGUGCAAAUCUAAAUACUUUAGAAAAAAAAAAAAAAAAGGGUAAAUGCUUUGAAGAAUCAAAGUAAAUUUCAUCUAGUUGAUCAUGAAGGAAGUUUUGUCACCUUGUUAUGUUUCUAUUGCAAGUUCCCAUUAGCAUUAUUAUAUUCCUAGUAAUCAGCUGGAAUCAAUUUGUUUUGCAGACGGUUCCCGGGUAUGAUGUUGCUGGUCUGGUGGUGUAGGUGGGAAGCCAAGUAACAAAGUUUAAGGUGGGGGAUGAAGUAUAUGGGGAUCUCAAUGAGAAAGCUUUGGAGAACCCAACGAGGUUUGGGUCUUUGGCAGAGUACACUGCUGCAGCAGAAAGAGUUUUGGCUCUCAAACCCCAAAAUCUGAGUUUUGUUGAAGCUGCUAGCCUUCCCCUGGCUAUUGAGACUGCCUAUGAAGGGCUUGAACGAACUGAAUUUUCUGCUGGUAAAUCCAUUCUUGUUUUAGGAGGCGCUGGGGGAGUGGGAACACAUGUUAUUCAGGUAAAGUAGUUUGAUUUCUAAUUCCAGAAUGUCCUCAUGCUUUAUAUAACUCAAUCUGCACAUGGAAUUAGUUAAGAAGUGCAAACAUUUCCACUAAUUUGGGCAGCUAGCAAAGCAUGUUUUUGGUUCUUCAAAAGUAGCAGCAACUGCAAGCACUAGAAAACUGGAGCUGUUGAGAAGCUUGGGUGCUGAUUUGGUUGUCGACUACACCAAGGAGAAGUAUGAAGAACUGCCUGAGAAAUUUGAUGUGGUAUAUGAUACAGUUGGUAAGAUUCUUCAUUCUGGUUUCUCAACAAUUCUAUACAUUAUGUAAUCCAUAUAUGGCAUGCACCUACCAACAGGGGAAUCUAUUAGUUUAUUUAUUUACCAGGAAUGAAUCAAAGACUGAUAUUAUUGUAUGAUGUUUUUGGAAAAAAAAAAACAGGGGAGUCUGACAGGGCGGUGAAGGCAGUAGUCUGACAGGGCGGUGAAGGCAGUGAAAGAAGGAGGGAAGGUAGUGACAAUAGUACCAGGUCCAGUAGCAGCAGGGGCCUUCAUAUUUAUCCUGACUUCAACUGGGACUAUAUUGGAGAAGCUGAAGCCAUACUUGGAGAGUGGGAAGGUGAAGCCGGUGCUUGAUCCCACAGGCCCAUAUCCCUUUUCCAAGACUGUUGAAGCAUUUGCUUACCUUGAAACCUCCAGGGCUACAGGGAAGGUGGUUGUGCAUCCCAUCCCAUAAGAAAGAUGGAAGAGAUUGUGCAGGCAGGCAGGCAAUCAGUCAGUUUGUGGGUUACGUAUUUCUAAUCUGCUGGUUGUGUAAACUUAGUGUUGUAAUAAUGGGUAUGUGAGAUGCUUAUAUAUUAUAAUAUGAAGUUGAGAGAUUUGCUUAUGUAUAUGUGACUUGUGGAAAGUAAGAAAAAAAAAAGAAAUUAAACUUUUUUCCAAGUGCAUUGUUCUGUUCUAUGACAGGAUUUGUAACUUGCUAUUCUCUGGCCUAGUUUACAAAG
RNAcentral lists this long non-coding RNA (2108 nucleotides) under Prunus dulcis (almond). Its description in RNAcentral is "sRNA ncRNA". The record is from RNAcentral. Lineage: Eukaryota; Viridiplantae; Streptophyta; Magnoliopsida; Rosales; Rosaceae.